Long non-coding RNA from Xiphophorus hellerii (green swordtail), 154 nucleotides. RefSeq lists it as uncharacterized. NCBI's taxonomy places the organism in Eukaryota, Metazoa, Chordata, Actinopteri, Cyprinodontiformes, Poeciliidae. The transcript is spliced from 2 exons. The record is from RefSeq and is a predicted model, not a curated record.
AUACUUACAGAAAAUGGACCCACAGUUCUUAAUGUCUAACUUACAAAAAUUGCCUGCAGUGUAACAUUUAUUACCAGGAGAGGAGAUCCACUCUGGACCAGGAGGAGUUGGAACCUCUGCAGGUGAAACAAGAACAGGAAGAGCCAGAAGAUCA